Molecule: ribosomal RNA, 496 nt
Filed under: uncultured bacterium
Lineage: Bacteria
Description: partial 16S ribosomal RNA
Rfam family: Bacterial small subunit ribosomal RNA
Source: RNAcentral
GAUGAACGCUGGCGGCGUGCCUAAUACAUGCAAGUCGAGCGAACAGACGAGGAGCUUGCUCAUCUGACGUUAGCGGCGGACGGGUGAGUAACACGUGGAUAACCUACCUAUAAGACUGGGAUAACUUCGGGAAACCGGAGCUAAUACCGGAUAAUAUAUUGAACCGCAUGGUUCAAUAGUGAAAGACGGUUUUGCUGUCACUUAUAGAUGGAUCCGCGCCGCAUUAGCUAGUUGGUAAGGUAACGGCUUACCAAGGCGACGAUGCGUAGCCGACCUGAGAGGGUGAUCGGCCACACUGGAACUGAGACACGGUCCAGACUCCUACGGGAGGCAGCAGUAGGGAAUCUUCCGCAAUGGGCGAAAGCCUGACGGAGCAACGCCGCGUGAGUGAUGAAGGUCUUCGGAUCGUAAAACUCUGUUAUUAGGGAAGAGCAAAUGUGUAAGUAACUAUGCACGUCUUGACGGUACCUAAUCAGAAAGCCACGGCUAACUACGU